AUGGAACAAAAAAUAAAUCCACUCAGUUUUAGACUUGGUACAACCCAAAAACACCAUUCCUUUUGGUUCGUGCAACCAAAAAAUUAUUCUGAAGGUCUACAGGAAGAUAAAAAAAUAAGGGAUUGUAUCAAGAACUAUAUACAAAAGAAUAGGAAAAAGGGCUCGAAUGGGAAAAUAGAAUCAGACUCAAGUUCCGAAACACAUAUAGAAAUCCAAAAAGAAAUCGAUAUGAUCCACAUCAUAAUCCAUAUUGGAUUCCCAAAUUUAUUACCAAUAAAAGGAGAAAUCAAAGAAUUAGAUAAAGAUCUACAAAAGGAAAUUAACUAUGCAAACCAGAGAUUUAAUAUUUCUAUCGAAAAAGUUAAAGAACCUUAUAGACAGCCUAACAUUCUUGCAGAAUAUAUAGCUUUCCAGUUAAAAAUAGAGUUUCAUUCCGAAAGGCAAUGA
Molecule: ribosomal RNA, 447 nt
Filed under: Triticum aestivum (bread wheat)
Lineage: Eukaryota; Viridiplantae; Streptophyta; Magnoliopsida; Poales; Poaceae
Description: partial small subunit ribosomal RNA
Source: RNAcentral